UACGAAGGGGGCUAACGUUGCUCGGAAUUACUGGGCGUAAAGCGCGUGUAGGCGGGUGGGCAAGUCCGUUGUGAAAUCCCUGGGCUCAACCCAGGAACUGCAUCGGAAACUGCGUGUCUUGAGUAAUGGAGAGGGAAGUGGAAUUCCCGGUGUAGAGGUGAAAUUCGUAGAUAUCGGGAGGAACACCAGUGGCGAAGGCGGCUUCCUGGACAUUUACUGACGCUGAGACGCGAAAGCGUGGGGAGCAAACAGG
Molecule: ribosomal RNA, 253 nt
Filed under: uncultured bacterium
Lineage: Bacteria
Description: partial 16S ribosomal RNA
Rfam family: Bacterial small subunit ribosomal RNA
Source: RNAcentral